RNAcentral lists this ribosomal RNA (253 nucleotides) under uncultured bacterium. RNAcentral's name for it is "partial 16S ribosomal RNA". It matches the Rfam family "Bacterial small subunit ribosomal RNA", at positions 524 to 776 of the family's 1533-position model. The record is from RNAcentral.
UACGGAGGGUGCAAGCGUUAAUCGGAAUUACUGGGUGUAAAGCGAGUGCAGGCGGCUUCGUGUGUCGGGUGUGAAAGCCCCCGGCUUAACCUGGGAAUUGCAUCCGAAACUGCGUAACUAGAAUAUGGUAGAGGAAGACGGAAUUCCACGUGUAGCGGUGAAAUGCGUAGAUAUGUGGAGGAACACCAAUGGCGAAGGCAGUCUUCUGGGCCAAUAUUGACGCUGAGGCGCGAAAGCGUGGGUAGCAAACAGG